Molecule: ribosomal RNA, 390 nt
Filed under: Acrossocheilus paradoxus (Taiwan torrent carp)
Lineage: Eukaryota; Metazoa; Chordata; Actinopteri; Cypriniformes; Cyprinidae
Description: partial 12S ribosomal RNA
Source: RNAcentral
AAAAGGCAUGGUCCCGACCUUACUAUCAGCUGUGACACAAUUUACACAUGCAAGUCUCCGCCACCCAGUGAGUAUGCCCUCAGUCCCCCGCCCGGAGACGAGGAGCGGGCAUCAGGCACAAUAGUUAGCCCAAGACGCCUAGCCAAGCCACACCCCCAAGGGAAUUCAGCAGUGAUUAACAUUAAGCCAUAAGUGAAAACUUGACUCAGUUAGUGUUAAUAGGGCCGGUAAAACUCGUGCCACUACCGCGGUUAGACGAGAGGCCCUAGUUGAUAUUACAACGGCGUAAAGGGUGGUUAAGGACAAACAGAUUUUUAAAGCCAAAGGCCCCUUGGCCGUCAUACGCUCCUGGAAGCCCGAAGCCCAAUACACGAAAGUAGCUUUAAUAAA